GACGAACGCUGGCGGCGUGCUUAAUACAUGCAAGUCGAACGGAGCCCAACCGGUGGCAACACCGGGGAAGGUUCAGUGGCGAACGGGUGCGUAACACGUGAGCAACCUGUCCCGAAGACCGGAAUAACAUCGGGAAACCGGUGCUAAUACCGGAUACCCCCACGAGGUCGCAUGACCUUGUGAGGAAAUGGAUCCCGCUUCGGGAGGGGCUCGCGGCCUAUCAUGCUAGUUGGUGAGGUAACGGCCCACCAAGGCUUCGACGGGUAGCUGGUCUGAG
RNAcentral lists this ribosomal RNA (277 nucleotides) under uncultured bacterium. RNAcentral describes it as "partial 16S ribosomal RNA". It matches the Rfam family "Bacterial small subunit ribosomal RNA", at positions 28 to 296 of the family's 1533-position model. The record is from RNAcentral.